GAUGAACGCUGGCGGCGUGCCCAAUACAUGCAAGUCGAGCGAACGGACGAGAAGCUUGCUUCUCUGAUGUUAGCGGCGGACGGGUGAGUAACACGUGGAUAACCUACCUAUAAGACUGGGAUAACUUCGGGAAACCGGAGCUAAUACCGGAUAAUAUUUUGAACCGCAUGGUUCAAAAGUGAAAGACGGUCUUGCUGUCACUUAUAGAUGGAUCCGCGCUGCAUUAGCUAGUUGGUAAGGUAACGGCUUACCAAAGCAACGAUGCAUAGCCGACCUGAGAGGGUGAUCGGCCACACUGGAACUGAGACACGGUCCAGACUCCUACGGGAGGCAGCAGUAGGGAAUCUUCCGCAAUGGGCGAAAGCCUGACGGAGCAACGCCGCGUGAGUGAUGAAGGUCUUCGGAUCGUAAAACUCUGUUAUUAGGGAAGAACAUAUGUGUAAGUAACUGUGCACAUCUUGACGGUACCUAAUCAGAAAGCCACGGCUAACUACGUG
Molecule: ribosomal RNA, 497 nt
Filed under: uncultured bacterium
Lineage: Bacteria
Description: partial 16S ribosomal RNA
Rfam family: Bacterial small subunit ribosomal RNA
Source: RNAcentral